Meriones unguiculatus (Mongolian gerbil) is the source of this 819-nucleotide long non-coding RNA. RefSeq lists it as uncharacterized. The record is from RefSeq and is a predicted model, not a curated record. The transcript has 2 exons. Lineage: Eukaryota; Metazoa; Chordata; Mammalia; Rodentia; Muridae.
GAGUGGCCUCCUGCGUGCUGCAGUGACCAGACGUCCUCAUUCCAGCCUUCCCAGAGACAACAAGGAGCCGGUGACCCUUUCUUCAAGCACCAAAGAAAAGCCAACCGACCCCACAAAGAACUGGACGUUGCCAGCCAGGCCUCACACGUGACUAGACUCUGACAGAGGUGGCUCUGCGCUCUUCACCGCUAUCUGUUCACAGCGAGCGGUACUUUCUCCUCAUGUCACAAAUGAGGAAAGGGGAAGCGGGCGAUGGAAUCAAACACACCACAAUGUGCAGUUUACUCCCUGAGGCUGUCCCGAGUGCUGCUGAGGCAGCAGUUCAUCUCAAGGCCACCCACCAUGGCAGGAGAGGCUCUGCUGAAGGCAAGCAGCCUUCUGGGGAUCCCCUGUUCUCUGCAGUCUGAUUCUGUGUGUCUCGACUGUGUUCCUUUGGUUCCUCUUCAGUUCUUAACGACAGUGUCCCAACAGAUCGAUGGGAAAAGAAGCCCUUGUCUUCCCCUGGGCAGCAAUCCCAACAGGUUGUUUCAAAGCCCAAACCCCAGAGUAAGUGAAUAUAUCAGGGAGUCCUGCAGCCUGCACCCCAGUCCUCAGCCCAGAGGCUUUCCCCUAGCCUGUCUUUCAGGCCACCCUCAGUAAGGUCUGGUGAGGCCUGAGGAGGUGGUUGUCAUGGCAGGGAGACCUUUAAGGCUGUCCGGGGCUCUGGCUGCUUUUACACACUUUGAAAUUCUUUGGUCACUCAAUAAACAAACAAACAAACAAACAAACAAAUAAAAUAAACCAGAAAAAGCAAAGCCUUCAUUCUGGUUCACAAGGCUU